GGAACGAUUUGGGUGUGUGCAAGGAGUGGGAGAAAGGGGGUGCAGAGUGGGGCUCUGGCUGGGUUCUGAGGCUGGACAGGAGCAGGCACAGCGGCUGCAGCUCUGCUCUCCACACUGCCCGGGGCCCCCGCCACAACCGCGGAGUUUCACGGCUCGGGAAAAGCCCCGUGAGGGCACAGCAGCCCUGGCACAAGGCUGAGGAGUCCCGGCCCGGCGCCUCCUUCCCCUCAGCUCCCGCACCGCCCGUCCCGGGCACAAGGGGUGAAAGGGCUCCCUGAGGAGACAGCCCCAGGGUCCGACCCCAGAGGAUGGGAGAGCGCCAAUCCUCCCUUAGCAGAGGGAGCCACAUGGAGAGUUAAGGAGAAAGCAAAACUGUGUAAGUGGUUUCAGAACCCUCUCGAAAAUCUGCUUACUGCACGCAACAUAGCUCGACCUUUCUGGCUCCCCUUGGCCCCUCAGAGAACAGCAGACACGCAAGAGGUUGGUGGUGUGCAGUGCUGCGGUCCCACGAGACCAGGCUUAGAGCAGACUCACCACAGCUCUCACUGCUGCCGCACCGACCAUGGAUGGCUUCUCAUUCAUUGCGGGACUCAUCAUAGGAGCUGCAGUUAGAGGAACAACAGCAGGAGCAAUGAAUCACAACAGGAAUGCCCAUGGGGAAAACCGAAGGGCCAGCCCUGAAGGCAGCGACCAAGGCCAUGGUGGGCGGAGAAGAACACCUGCUUACCACUACCAGUGAUCACAAACAGAUUUGCUUCCUUCCAAGCAGCCUGAUGUGUCUCUUCCCACUGCAGCAACUGGAAAGAUCCUGCUGACCCUGCCAUGUGCUCCUUUCACAGACUUGGAUUGCCUUGAACCAUAAAUGCUUUGAAAGCUUAAUAAAAGUGCAUUGGAGGAG
This is a long non-coding RNA of Prinia subflava (tawny-flanked prinia), 898 nucleotides long. RefSeq lists it as uncharacterized. The transcript is spliced from 5 exons. Lineage: Eukaryota; Metazoa; Chordata; Aves; Passeriformes; Cisticolidae. The record is from RefSeq and is a predicted model, not a curated record.